AAGGUGUAAGUGCCGCGAGGUAUUUAGCUGAUUAGUACUAAUAAUUCGAGGACUUAGAUUU
RNAcentral lists this ribosomal RNA (61 nucleotides) under Mycoplasmoides gallisepticum. Its description in RNAcentral is "Mycoplasma gallisepticum partial 23S ribosomal RNA". The record is from RNAcentral. Lineage: Bacteria; Bacillati; Mycoplasmatota; Mycoplasmoidales; Mycoplasmoidaceae.